UAGGGAAUCUUCGGCAAUGGACGAAAGUCUGACCGAGCAACGCCGCGUGAGUGAAGAAGGUUUUCGGAUCGUAAAACUCUGUUGUUAGAGAAGAACAAGGACGUUAGUAACUGAACGUCCCCUGACGGUAUCUAACCAGAAAGCCACGGCUAACUACGUGCCAGCAGCCGCGGUAAUACGUAGGUGGCAAGCGUUGUCCGGAUUUAUUGGGCGUAAAGCGAGCGCAGGCGGUUUCUUAAGUCUGAUGUGAAAGCCCCCGGCUCAACCGGGGAGGGUCAUUGGAAACUGGGAGACUUGAGUGCAGAAGAGGAGAGUGGAAUUGCAUGUGUAGCGGUGAAAUGCGUAGAUAUAUGGAGGAACACCAGUGGCGAAGGCGGCUCUCUGGUCUGUAACUGACGCUGAGGCUCGAAAGCGUGGGGAGCAAACAGG
This 429-nucleotide ribosomal RNA is filed under the name Gemmatimonadota bacterium. Its description in RNAcentral is "Gemmatimonadetes bacterium partial 16S ribosomal RNA". It matches the Rfam family "Bacterial small subunit ribosomal RNA", at positions 355 to 776 of the family's 1533-position model. Lineage: Bacteria; Pseudomonadati; Gemmatimonadota. The record is from RNAcentral.